This is a long non-coding RNA of Eupeodes corollae, 1035 nucleotides long. RefSeq lists it as uncharacterized. The transcript has 3 exons. NCBI's taxonomy places the organism in Eukaryota, Metazoa, Arthropoda, Insecta, Diptera, Syrphidae. The record is from RefSeq and is a predicted model, not a curated record.
CCAUAGCUGCCGCAGGUGUUUACGGUGGAGGUGUCGCCAUCAAAAACCAUCAGCAAAAAAACCACCAAGUCAAUGAUACAAGUACAAGAAGAAGUUUUGCCAUGCAAUAGUCGACCGCUAACGCCCUUUUCGAUCAAUUUCGUGUAAAGAGUACUACCAGAGACGCAAGAAUACAAUCCAAAAAGUUUCAGCCUUGACUGUAAAUUAAGUGAAUUUAAUUCAAACACUAAGGAUUGCACUGGCUUAACGGUGGCAAUCAUUCGGAGCAAAUGGGCUGGCCCGACAAGAAUCCCCUUUAAGUUAAACAGAUUCAGAUCAGUCGCUCGGCGAUUACUGACGAUGUCGGCUAGUUGAAUCCAUCGAUUUUCACACAGAAAAUCAACAUCAAAAACAUCAAGAAAAUUCAGCAGCGUCAUGGCCAACCUGCCUAUUAACCAACCCAUCUCUAUUCGCAGUGGAAGUGUUUGUGGAUCAAGCGAUCUCUGCGUGUCAACAAUGCGAACACAAUGUCAUUAGGCCGGAGUACCAACCUGGACCCUUGUAUUGCAUAUAUCGAAAGUUUUGCCAUGUGUCUUUAAAGUUUUAGAGAGUUUCAUGAAAUUGGAUAGCCUCUAAAAGCCGUAUAUGUGUGCUACGCGUAUGUCACAAAGCUAUAAUAAAAUUAGUUUUGAUAUUUAAGGAAAUAUUAUUUAAAAAUGCGUUUUUUAACAACUUUCAGGCUUUGAAGGGGCUAUUAAAAUCUUUUAUGUUUUGUUAAGUUCUAGGGUGAGGAAAAUAGGGAAGGAUUUGAGGAGAUACAGUUGCACAUUGGUCUUUAAGUUUUGAAUAUGAAAUGAGGGAAGAACAGAGUUGACUGAAGAAGAUACUACCCUGUAUUCAUAUUGUAAAUAUAUUUGUUUGAAGAAUCUUAAUGAUUGUUUAUGUAUGUUAUUCAAUACUUGCCAUUUGUAGUCCAUUUAAUUUUAAACUUACUUUGCUUAGUUAAUCGUUACAUGCCUCUAUUGAAAAUAAAUAUUUUUUCUUUUCAAUUCAUAA